Talpa occidentalis (Iberian mole) is the source of this 561-nucleotide long non-coding RNA. RefSeq lists it as uncharacterized. The transcript has 5 exons. NCBI's taxonomy places the organism in Eukaryota, Metazoa, Chordata, Mammalia, Eulipotyphla, Talpidae. The record is from RefSeq and is a predicted model, not a curated record.
CUGUAUGGAAUAUGCUGAGGAGAACAAAUCAGGAUAGAGCUCUGCCUUUUGCAGACAGACAGAAGAACACACCAACUGGGCAGAUUGCCCAUCUUCCAAAGGCACCUCCUUCAGCAGCUGCUGAACCAUGAUGAUGUGAUUCUUGCCCCUCAUGAUCAUUUCCGUUUCCUUGACUGCUCCUUAUUGAACAUCGCAGUGCACACAUUGGCAAGAAAACUCUACUGGAAUCUUUAUAAUCAAUAAACCUGUUGUUUGCUGAAGGAUUAUAUCCCAAAACUUGCAUGUUAAACAGGUGCUUGCUAAGAAAAGUGAGUUAAACAAAAUCACCAUUCCUGGAGUAGAUUAGCAUGAAGAAUGAGAAGGAACAGCAGCAGCAGGAGAACAAGAGAGGAAUCAGAUGGUUGCCCUUUAACACACUAUGUUCAGGAGAUCCCUUCCAAGAGGAAUAUAGCAAGAGGCAUCUCCUAUGUGACUGAGCCCGAUUGAGCCUUAAUAUCCGUUUGGAGGAAACUUAGUAAGGAGACAUAGUGAACAGAGGUAACAGACACCUUUCCAAUGAAG